RNAcentral lists this small RNA (28 nucleotides) under Bombyx mori (domestic silkworm). Its description in RNAcentral is "ovarian small RNA-11771". Lineage: Eukaryota; Metazoa; Arthropoda; Insecta; Lepidoptera; Bombycidae. The record is from RNAcentral.
AGAACGUAGGUCGCUGUCUGUGGAUGAC